Non-coding RNA from Paecilomyces variotii, 163 nucleotides. The record is from the annotation of a RefSeq genome assembly. Lineage: Eukaryota; Fungi; Ascomycota; Eurotiomycetes; Eurotiales; Thermoascaceae.
GUCAGUGUGGCCGAGUGGUUAAGGCGUUCGACUCGAAUCCCUAUCUUUGAUAGGCAGUAGACAUCGAAUGGGUUCGCCCGCACAGUAAGUCUAAUACGAAUCGUAUUAUAAAAUACAAUAACAUGCUAACAUACUCAUCAGGGUUCGAAUCCUGUCGCUGACG